RNAcentral lists this unclassified non-coding RNA (521 nucleotides) under Hevea brasiliensis (rubber tree). Lineage: Eukaryota; Viridiplantae; Streptophyta; Magnoliopsida; Malpighiales; Euphorbiaceae. The record is from RNAcentral.
CACAAUUUCACUUUAUUUUGCUGCAUGCUAAUAAGCCAAGCUGGUAUCCUUCACAUUCUAGGGCAUACUGUUUUGUGUUCCUAAAUAUCUCAUUUCUGGUUGAUUGAAUUGCCUUCAUUGCCUGUGAUUAUGUUACUGUGGCUGAUUAAUAGUUUGAUUGUGUAGAACCUUCUGCUACAUGCUAUGGAUGCAAAGUACAUGCUUUUUUUUCCCUUUAUGUUCUUAAUUUAGAUGUUUAGCCAUUAUUUCUUUCUUGAUCUCAAUCAGUCUUAACCGCAUUCGAUCCUCAAUUUUAUCAUAACCUAGCCCAUCUCAAAGAAUGGGUAAAUAGAUUUACUUGCAUGAAUGUAGUGCAGUUUUAGUAAUGUUAACUGGGAUUCUACAGUUUAUUCAGGUUUCUCUGAGGCUAUUUGAUGGGAAAAUUAAUUUGGGUAUAAUGAAAGGAUUUUUUAUAUUUGAAUUGGACUCAAAACUUUCCCCAAAAAUAGAGGAAAAUAACAAGAUUCUAACUUUUCUCCUAG